RNAcentral lists this long non-coding RNA (1210 nucleotides) under Lynx pardinus (Iberian lynx). The record is from RNAcentral. Lineage: Eukaryota; Metazoa; Chordata; Mammalia; Carnivora; Felidae.
AAGGAAGAAGCUCCAGGGACGUGGGACAAUGGCCGAGAAAAGUAGCGCGAGCUGUCGGGGGAAAUCGGAGGGAAGGGACUGCGUGCGCACCUGACUGCGUCCUGGGGCAGGGGGCCGAGGGCAGCGCGUGCUUUACCCUUUUAAAGGUUCACCGCAUUUCCCGCCCAAGUUUAAGCAAGGCGAGAGAAAAAACCAAAUAUACAUUCAUGUGUGUAUAUACACUUUUGUGUCGACAGUUUUAUUUCUGGGAACCCAAUUUGAAGGAAUUUUGUUGAUUUUAUUGCCGUUUAAACAAGAGUAGAGAAGCCCACCAUCUGAAUGCAGCGUUGGCUAAAGGUCAGCGGGAGACCCUGUCCUGGCCCCAUCAGUUAGCAGUCUCCACUGCAGACUGGGUGGAAAGGCAAAAGGUCGUGGAAAACGUGAAGGCACACGAAGUCCGGGAUUCAAAACAGCAGACAUUAACCAUGGCACUAGAUGGUUGAGUGACAUGGUCACCAGGCCAGGUGGGUCAGAAAGGGAGCUUAGCCAAGGCUGGAGAGGGGUGCGGGGGUGGGGAGGGGGGGAGGAUCUCCUGACUCCUACCCUUGCAGGCUUGUCUUGCAAUGGCGAUCAGCUCCGAGGUUCCUAAAAAGAGAGAGCCAUCAAACCAGACGCCAGGUUUCUCCAAUAUGCUUUUCACUUUCUGUUUCUCCUUUCUUUCCACCUUUCCAAUAAAAGCCACCUAGUAAAGGACACAAGGAAGAGUGAAUCCACUUUCUGUUUCUCCUUUCUUUCCACCUUUCCAAUAAAAGACGCCUAGUAAAGAAGGACACAAGAAUGAAUGAAGGAAUCAAUUUUAAAAAGCUGCUUUGAUGUUCCAAAUUUGCUUAAAUUGACUGGAUGCAGAAGAGAAAUAUGUGGCUUUAGCAAGUGUCUCUUUGACCUGCAAAUGUCAGAGAUGGUUUUUUGUUUUUUGUGUUUUUCAGACUCCACAUCAGCACUUUUGCGUGUCUGAAGAUGAUUGAGAAGUAAGAGUGGGUUGCUGGGAGGUGCAAAUUCUCAGGGUAGUAACGUCAGGUUUUCUAUUAAAGGGGGCCUCCUAAUGCCCUAGUGUGGGGUGAUGGAUCAUUGGCUGGGGACCAGGACUAGGCCUCUGGAUGGGCCUCUGCUCCUUAAGGAUGGGUCAAAGCCCAAUGCUGGGAUCACUCUGAUUUAAAAAGAGCAUGAAAGA